Molecule: long non-coding RNA, 340 nt
Organism: Musa acuminata subsp. malaccensis (wild Malaysian banana)
Lineage: Eukaryota; Viridiplantae; Streptophyta; Magnoliopsida; Zingiberales; Musaceae
Source: RefSeq, a predicted model, not a curated record
CACAGAGAGAGAGAGAGAGAGAAAGAGAGAGAGAUGGAGAAGAAUCCACCGGAAUCCAAGCUCGCUGCCCCCGGCGUCAGGGAAUGGCCCAAAAAAGCAAUGCCCGGAAGACAUCAUGGAUUUUGAGUGGAGGGAAGACACUCGCAGGGCGAACGACUUCUUUCGUUGUCAUGACGCAGAAGAAUGUGGUCGAUGGUGCUGACUGGUUAUUUGGGUGAAAUUGGUAGGUGACACACUAACCCUACAACACGAAUGGUCGCAUGAUUGUGCUAUGGGGAUCUCCUCCAGGCAAAUUCCCAUGGACGAGGAGGGCAAGGUGAAGGUGUACCCCCGAGGGGCA